RNAcentral lists this ribosomal RNA (301 nucleotides) under uncultured bacterium. RNAcentral's name for it is "partial 16S ribosomal RNA". It matches the Rfam family "Bacterial small subunit ribosomal RNA", at positions 509 to 807 of the family's 1533-position model. The record is from RNAcentral.
CAGUCGCCGCGGUAAUACGAAGGGGGCUAGCGUUGCUCGGAAUUACUGGGCGUAAAGGGCGCGUAGGCGGACAUUUAAGUCAGAGGUGAAAGCCCAGGGCUCAACCUUGGAACUGCCUUUGAUACUGGAUGUCUAGAGUGCGGGAGAGGUGUGUGGAACUCCGAGUGUAGAGGUGAAAUUCGUAGAUAUUCGGAAGAACACCAGUGGCGAAGGCGACACACUGGCCCGUAACUGACGCUGAGGCGCGAAAGCGUGGGGAGCAAACAGGAUUAGAUACCCGGGUAGUCCCUGUCUCUUAUAC